RNAcentral lists this ribosomal RNA (253 nucleotides) under uncultured bacterium. Its description in RNAcentral is "partial 16S ribosomal RNA". It matches the Rfam family "Bacterial small subunit ribosomal RNA", at positions 524 to 776 of the family's 1533-position model. The record is from RNAcentral.
GACAGAGGUGCCAAGCGUUAGGCGGAAUUACUGGGCGUAAAGCGUGCGUAGGCGGUUUGUUAAGUCUGUCGUGAAAGCCCCGGGCUCAACCUGGGAAUGGCGAUGGAAACUGGCGAGCUAGAGUACGGUAGAGGAGAGUGGAAUUCCCGGUGUAGCAGUGAAAUGCGUAGAGAUCGGGAGGAACAUCAGUUGCGAAGGCGGCUCUCUGGACCAGUACUGACGCUGAGGCACGAAAGCGUGGGGAGCAAACAGG